Molecule: ribosomal RNA, 401 nt
Filed under: uncultured bacterium
Lineage: Bacteria
Description: bacterial SSU rRNA
Rfam family: Bacterial small subunit ribosomal RNA
Source: RNAcentral
GGGGAAUAUUGGACAAUGGGGGCAACCCUGAUCCAGCCAUGCCGCGUGAGUGAUGAAGGCCUUCGGGUUGUAAAGCUCUUUUGGCGGGGACGAUGAUGUCGGUACCCGCAGAAUAAGCCCCGGCUAACUUCGUGCCAGCAGCCGCGGUAAGACGAAGGGGGCAAGCGUUGUUCGGAAUUACUGGGCGUAAAGGGCGCGUAGGCGGUUUGCUUAGUCAGGCGUGAAAGCCCUGGGCUUAACCUGGGAUGUGCGCUUGAUACUGGCAGGCUUGAGUGUGGGAGAGGUUGGUGGAAUUCCCAGUGUAGAGGUGAAAUUCGUAGAUAUUGGGAAGAACACCGGUGGCGAAGGCGGCCAACUGGACCACAACUGACGCUGAGGCGCGAAAGCGUGGGGAGCAAACA